GCGGGCACUGGGGCGGCGGGGCUGCGGGCCGGGCUCAGCGCCGCCGAGCCCCGCGGGCUCCUUCCCACAUCCUCCCAUCCAAGGCUUUCUCCGAGGGCCCUCUUCGGCGUCUCCAGUUUGCGCCGAGGAUCAAAGCAGAACCUGGACCUGAACCAGUUCCCCGAGGAACCGAAUGCCUCCUGAGUCGGGCACUGUUCUAAAACUGCAGACAUGGAACCAGGCAAAAGUCUCUGCCCUCGUGAAGCCUGCCUCAAGCAAGGGCCAGGGCAGGCAAAGCACAAAGAGCGCCCACCUCCUGUCAAAGAGCCGAGGCGAACCACAGGACCAGGUAGCAGGCUCCAGCGUCCGUGGCCUUCCCAUGGAGGUUCAAACAGUUGCUCGUCAGGGAAGGGAGGAGAUGCAGAGACAAGGGAAGCGCAGUCGCAGUCGAGAAACAAUGGUGCAGCCUUGGGGCAGGGUGCCGGUUCCCCCUCCAGGGAUGCACGGAACAAUGUCUUUGAGUUGUUUAUAGAACUAAAACCCCCAUCAAAUGGAAGAUGAAGCAUUCUUCAUUCCAGAAGACAGGAAGCACAGGAGCUCAGCAGGGACCUCCUGAGGCCAGAUUAAAGGAGCGCAGGCCCUGCACACACCCUGGUCCUUGUCAGCACCCCCGCCCUGGAGCCAUUGCUACAAAACUCCUCACCAAAUCCUCCUGGGUUGGGACACACAGUGUUCAAAGGCAGGAACCUGCUGUGUCCCCCUUUGCCUGGAGAAGUAUUAAAGCUCUUCUUUUCUACUUCACCCAGCUGUGUCUCCAAGAUUCCAUUCAGCGCCGGUACACGGAGGCCGCGUUUUCUGCAUCAGUAUUGAAGCCAGAACUGGAAUGCGGGCACUUGGUUCCGGUGCCGGCGCUUUAAACCAUCACGUUUUCAUUCCUCCAUGAGCGUCUCCAAAAAGACAUUUCAGACUUAUGAAAUGUACAUUUAUAUUAAGCACUUGGUGUUUAUUUUAUGACUCCACACCGUUUUAGUCAUAAAUAUGUAACUUAAAAAUUCUACUGCCAACAACAAACAUACAUCAUUUUGAUUCUGGUCUCACAUCAAAAGGACAGUGCCCCAAGCCUACAGGAACUAGGCACUCCGUCAGUGAAACCAUCACGGUGUCUUGGAUGGAAUACCCUUUUUAGUGGCUAUGGAAACGUGAAAUGAAUCUUCUGAAACCAUCCAAAGGGAAAAGGCUCUGUUGCCCUGAUUCUUAGCGAGAAGACUUUUUGCCAUAAAAUCGCCGUUACUGUGUUCCUGGGCCUGACAACCCGUGAUGAGGGAAAAUCAUAAUUUGUAUUCACAUCAGCUUCUGAAGGACAGAAGUAGGAAAAAGCAAAGGCAGUGAGGUGACUAACUUGUUUCUGGGGAAAAGUGAACGUUCUAAGUAGGAGACAGAGUUUCUGUUACCGCUAACCUUGAGGUCAUCAUGGGCUUGACCAAGACGGCAGUCUGUCGGGAGCUUCAGUGCAUGCGUGCUGCUGGACCCAAGAAGCUACAAGGUAAGUAAAAGGCAUGAUUGCUGCCCUCAGUGAGUUCCCCCUGAUCUGGGGCAUCCAGUCAUCUUCACGUGUGUUUGUUUCCACCUGUGAUGUGACCUGUCCUCUUGCAUUAUCUACAGUCUGCAGAGAGCCCUGCAGACUGCACUCUGCCCGGUCCCCUCUUUAAUGUUCCUGAAAGCUGUCCUCCGGUUACCAGCUUCAUCUCUUUAAACACAAAGCUGAUCACAGCCUGAUCCCUGCUCUAAAAGUCUGAGCCUCCCCCUUGACUGCAGGAGAAGAAAAACGUUCUCCUUGGGCGUGAUCUUCUCUUCCUUACCCACCGGGUCUUGCACUCCCGAUGCACCACAGUUCCUGUACUCACACUUGCUGGUCCUUGCUUCUUUUCUUAUGCUCACUCCACAGCUAUAGAUAGCUCAAUCUGGGACUUCUUCUAUUCUGAUUUACUCUUCUUAUCAGCUUCUUUUUUCCCAGUACUUAACAUACUGCACUUAUCGAAUAAUAAUCGCUAGCUCUACCAUGCCAGGCACCAUUCUAAAGAUUUCAUGUAUACUCACAUCUUCAUUCUCACAGCAAACAUACAAGAUGGGUGUAUUACUUUUUAAUUUAUUUUAUUGAAGUAUAGUUGACUUUCAAUGUUCUGUGAGUUUCUGCUGUACAGCAAAGUGACUCAGUUAUACGCAUGUAUACAUUCUUUUUCAUAUUCUUUUCCAUGAUGGUUUAUCACAGGAUAUUGAAUAUAGUUCCCUGUGCUAUACAGUAGGACUUGGUUGUUUAUCCAUUCUCUAUAUAAUAGUUUGCAUCUGCUAACCCCAAACUCCCAAUCCAUCCGCCCCCCCAUCCUCCUCCCCCUUGGCUACCACAAGUCUGUUCUCUAUGUCCGUGAGUCUGUUUCGUAUAUAAAUUCAUCUGUGUUAUAUUUUAGAUUCCACGUAUAAGUGAUACCACAUGGUAUUUGUCUUUCUCUGUCUGAGAUGGGUGUACCCAAUAGGAUUUACAGAGAAGCAGAGGAAGAACAGAGAGGCCAAGCGAUUUACCUAAGACCACUCGGGCUGUAGGUGGCAGAGCCAGGUCCUGAACUUGGUAAGUCUAAUUCUCGAGUUCCUGCUUUCGACCAUCACUCUGCCUCUAACAGAAGGGGUCCAACUGGUAUGGGAGGCCAUGUAGAUGCCCAGUCACCAUCUAAGCAUUGAAGUCAGAGGUACAAGCUAACAUCUUUUUUUUCUCUCCAAAAGGCUGUUAUUAAUUCAGUGGAGGAUUUUAUCAUUAAUGGUGUCUUAAAAUAAAGAUAACACUAAGUAAUUUUUUUGGCUGAAUAAAGAAGUCUUUCCCUAACUUCUCUCCUUUUCUCACCAUCACUGAGUCAUCACCAGGGUAAGUCUCAUCCUUCCAAAAACUUUCUAGGACAAAUCCUUAGCCCCACUGCCCCCAAAUUAAUGAUAAUAUCCUCUAGGUUUGCUGAUACACCCUCCCUGAAAUUGACCGUAAAUGCUUUGAUGGCAGAAAUCGUGCCUACUCUCUCUCUCCUGUUUUCAGUCCAACCACCCCUGGACCGCCUGCCCACCACAGCACUUAACUCUGCAUGUGUGCACUUCCAUGUUGAACACAUCUUUUAAUAGCUGGUGAGUGAAAUUAACAAAAGUAUGAAGUAGCCAAAUGCAGUUACAGCCAUGAUAAAUCUUCAUGGAAGAAAAAUGAAUGAGGAGCAGCUCCUUCCGACAUAGUGACGGAGACUGGAGCCAUGUGGAGUUCAUUUUCUUGCUUGGCUGUCAGUCAGAGUUGCGGAGCUUGUAAACGGAAGAGCUAAAUUAUGGAAAACAGGAGUCAAAAUGUACAAAUCUCUAGGCUCACACCUAAGUGAAAAUUAUUCAUAUAAUUUUAUUUAUUUGAUGAGCUGAAAGAAGACCAGGUGAGCACUUCCCAAACCGGAAGCAAUGCAGAAUCUGUCUUUUCAGAAGUCCUAUGGUAAUACUCAUUCCAAUAUUACAAGGUUGUUUCUAAAGCCUGGCAAACAGCCCAAUUCAUAUUGCCUGAGUGGUUUAAAUAGAGUUAUGAUAGAAAAAUCUUAUGGAACAGAUGGUUCACAAGACUCUAAUAGCCAAUCUGUUAUAGCCAAGAUGUCAUCAUUUUGAAAAAUAACUUCUAGGAAAGUAUCUUCUUCAUAUUUUGAAAGUAUGAUGUCAAAUGAAAUCCUUUGCUUUUUAAUUUUAGAUUUUAAAUUUGUGUGUUACAAUUUAAAACAUGUAUGUGUGUGCAAGCGUGUGGUUUUGAAAUAAUAAUUGCUGACUGUUGCUGCCUGGGGAGAAGAAAUUUCAAGAACCACUGAGCUAAAAUGGGAAAUGAAGGGUCACUGUUUAUGAAGAUUCAUACGUAGAGUAAUUUAAUGAAAUGACAAUUCACUUUGCAUCUCCUGUGCUUUGGGCAAUUAAUUUUACUGUGAAAUAUUAGACUUCAGCUCUGAGUUAAUGUCUUACAAAAUAAAGAAACUGUCGUGGACUGAGCCAAACAUGCCACUUCACGAUUAAAAACAGCAUAUAGGGAACUAUACUCAAUAUUUUUAACACCUAUAAGGAAAAGAAUCUGAAAAAAUAUGUGUGUGUGUGUGUGUGUGUGUAUAUAUAUAUAUAUAUAUGAAUGUAUAACUGAAUCACUUUGCUCUAUACCUGAAAUUAACACAUUGUAAAUCAACUAUAUUUCAAUAAAAAACAAUUUUUAAAAAACAUAUGCUGAGAUUUUAUUCUUAGAAAUAAAUUAAUUCGUAACGCAGUAAUGAAAAAAACUUCCUUAAUGAGCUUAGAUAAAAUAUAAUUACUCUCAUGACGCUUUAAGUUCAUGAAAAUGGAUUGUAUUGUGACGUAAAAAUACUGUUUAUAAAUAAAUACUGUCUAUAAAAAAAUUGAAUCACUGUGUUGUACACCUGAAACUAACGUAACCUUGUAAAUCCACUAUAGUUCAAUAAAAAUAAAGAAAUAAAAAUGCU
Long non-coding RNA from Globicephala melas (long-finned pilot whale), 4499 nucleotides. RefSeq lists it as uncharacterized. The record is from RefSeq and is a predicted model, not a curated record. NCBI's taxonomy places the organism in Eukaryota, Metazoa, Chordata, Mammalia, Artiodactyla, Delphinidae.